This 274-nucleotide ribosomal RNA is filed under the name uncultured bacterium. Its description in RNAcentral is "partial 16S ribosomal RNA". It matches the Rfam family "Bacterial small subunit ribosomal RNA", at positions 523 to 796 of the family's 1533-position model. The record is from RNAcentral.
AUACGGAGGGUGCAAGCGUUACUCGGAAUCACUGGGCGUAAAGCGCGCGCAGGCGGCCAUUUAAGUUGGAUGUGAAAGCCUACGGCUCAACCGUAGAACUGCAUCCAAAACUAUUUGGCUAGAGUGUGGGAGAGGAAGAUGGAAUUAGUUGUGUAGGGGUAAAAUCCGUAGAGAUAACUAGGAAUACCAAAAGCGAAGGCAAUCUUCUGGAACAUUACUGACGCUGAGGCGCGAAAGCGUGGGGAGCAAACAGGAUUAGAAACCCGGGUAGUCC